Molecule: non-coding RNA, 145 nt
Organism: Gossypium hirsutum (cotton)
Lineage: Eukaryota; Viridiplantae; Streptophyta; Magnoliopsida; Malvales; Malvaceae
Source: Rfam
UAUUAAAAAUGUCAUCUAUUUUUACUGUUAAAAAUUGAAGUACUUAAUGAAAUAACUAAACAAUUACAUGUGAUAUAUCACGUGUAUCUCAUGUUGACGUAAAGGGACCGGUUUUUAACACUAAAAAUAGACGAAAUUUUUAACA